GUGGGGAAUAUUGGACAAUGGGCGGAAGCCUGAUCCAGCAAUUCCGCGUGGGUGAAGAAGGUCUUCGGAUUGUAAAGCCCUUUCGACAGGGACGAUGAUGACGGUACCUGUAGAAGAAGCCCCGGCUAACUUCGUGCCAGCAGCCGCGGUAAUACGAAGGGGGCUAGCGUUGCUCGGAAUUACUGGGCGUAAAGGGCGCGUAGGCGGCGAUGUUAGUCAGGCGUGAAAUUCCUGGGCUCAACCUGGGGACUGCGCUUGAUACGGCAUUGCUUGAGGAUGGAAGAGGCUCGCGGAAUUCCCAGUGUAGAGGUGAAAUUCGUAGAUAUUGGGAAGAACACCGGUGGCGAAGGCGGCGAGCUGGUCCAUUACUGACGCUGAGGCGCGACAGCGUGGGGAGCAAACAGGAUUAGAUACCCUAGUAGUCC
Molecule: ribosomal RNA, 425 nt
Filed under: uncultured bacterium
Lineage: Bacteria
Description: bacterial SSU rRNA
Rfam family: Bacterial small subunit ribosomal RNA
Source: RNAcentral